Molecule: non-coding RNA, 7941 nt
Organism: Rattus norvegicus (Norway rat)
Lineage: Eukaryota; Metazoa; Chordata; Mammalia; Rodentia; Muridae
Source: RefSeq, a predicted model, not a curated record
UAUAAUGUAAGACUGCAAAGUUCCAGAACUGUUUUACAUAUGUAAGAUGAAAACAGAUCUCUAGAAAUCAGUGUAUAAUUCUGGCUUCUUCUAGAAUUAGAAGUUAGAAUUCUCUGGUGAGAAUUCUACUGCCCAGACAGUGACCAUACCAACAAACAUGCCUCCAGAGGAGGGAUUUCAGGAUUUUUCCUUUAUAAUUAUGUCUACAUGACAUUCUUAAUCCAAUGGGUUACUUGAUGUUUCUAAUCUGGUCAGGUUGAGGGCCAAGGUCAACAGGGAGUGGUUAGGAACAUGAGAUGUCAAGACUAGAGGAUUUGGACCACAGUCUUGAAGUUUGUGAGGCUGAUGACACAUACCAGACCACCAAAGCUGGUUGUUGUGAUGGUUCCAAUUUCCUUUGAGGUGUUGGUGUUGGCUAAAGCAAAAUUGAGAUCACUUUGUCCUGGUUCUUUUAAAGACAAGAUAUCAUCUGGGCAAAUGAUGGCUACUGGGUAUGGCCCACACACCUAGAUGCCAAAGUUUGCCCAGAUUGUUUCUCCGGGAUGGCCCAGACAUCGUGCAGGCUAUGUUUUGAGCCCUUUGAGUUGAUAUCUCCUGGGUUUGAUGUGAAAGGAAAAUUAUACAGAUUUAAAGUUUAAAAAUAUGAAGUUAAAAGAGUAAGUUUCAAAAUUCAUAGACUCAGGGCUAAACACUGUGAAAAGCAAGUCCAGGCAGCCCCGCCCUGCCACUAGGACUAACACACCAUAAAGAUAAAGAAAAGGAAUGCAGGAACCAGCCCGAGAUAUCAGGACUGACUCAAACCAUCUGGCAGAAGGGCACCUCCCCCAGCUUACUCAGAGUCACACCUUAACCAGAUGUCCUUCAAACCCUGAUACGUCCCUAGCUUCUAAAAUCCUGUAUGUUCCAGUCAAUAUGUACUCUCCUGCUAUGCUGUAAUCUCACUGCCAUGUUUAAAUGAGCCAAUCACUUAUAGCAGCGCCAGAAAUUAGCCAAUUGUGUGUAACCGCGCCAAACCCCCUAGCCUUCCCUAUAUAAACCCCUGACUUUUGAGCUUCGGGGUCGACACCUCUGUCUCCUGCACAGGAUACGUGUCGACCCGGAGAUCCCUGUAAUAGAUCUCCGUAAUAAACCUCGCCUUUGCUUAUUACAUCCAAAAUGGUCUCUCUGUGUCUGGGGUCUGCGACUUCCCGAGACUUGAAUAAGGGUCUCUCUUCGGGGAUCUUUCAUUUGGGGGCUCAUCUGGGAUCGGUGUUUUCUGGGGUGCACCAUCCUGAGACUCGAGCUAGGUUCUUUCAGAUGAAGAGAGGCUGAGGCCCACAACUAUAACUCAAAAUUUUUCAAAACCUAUUUUUAAUGAUGGCUGUUAAAUGCUUUAAUCUCCCUUCUAGGCUACUACCCACCAGAGGUAGUGGAAAAAAAAGGCUAUGGGGAAAGUGGACCUGCUUAGAAGUGGUUCUUUGGAGCAACUCCCAUCUGACUUGUCAGAAACAGUUCAGUUCACAGAUCAGCAGUAGCAGCUCAGUCCACUACAAGUACUUCACAAAUAUACCGGUAACUCAGUUCAGUAGAGUUGGGAUAGCAGCAGGUGGCACGACCUAGCAGGAACAGUGCCCCCGCCAUCGGGGACCCAGUUAUUUGUGUGGUCGAGGGGGACCCAUACCUGUGGGAGAAAGGGCAAGAAAGAGGAGCGAGACCAAGCAGUGUCUUUGUCAAGGUCUGUUUAUUGAGAGGAAUGUACAGCAUUUAAAGCUCUGAAGCAGGAAUUGAAGCAGGAACUGAAGCUUAGGGCGGGGGGAGUACUGGGAAGUGCCCAAGGACAUAAGGUGAAUCAUUAAACUGCAAGACCCCAGCUUAGCAGCAGUAACGCCAUUUUGCAAGGCUGUACUUAAGAUGACUGGUUCAGGGAAAGGUUAGAACACUGAGUACACAGCGGCUGCCAAGCAGGAUGUGUUUGGUUGAAGGCCUGGCAACAGGACGACUGCAGUUGAGCACCUGACAAUGAGAAAAGCCCCGGGAGAGGUCCCACACCCUGGUGGGGGGCCGAGUCAGUCGUUCUGUUCCAAGAAGGUAGCUAAGAAACUUGCCCCCGGGCUGAACCCUUGGGGGGCUGAGUCAGCCGUUAUGUUUCAGGAAGGUAGCUAGGAAACUUGCCCCCGGGCUAAACCCUUGCCAUAUUAGAAUCCACCAAUUAUAUCCCUGUAACCAUGCAUCUGCUUCUGUAUGCUUGCUUCUGCUUCCCAAAAUCCUAUAAAAGCCCAUCCUUGGUUCCGUGGGGCGCGCCAGUCCCCCGAGUGACUGAAGCGCCCGCAGGUGCCUGUGCCUGUGUAUCCCGACAAUAAACCAAAUCCUCUUGCUGAUUGCAUCCUGUGGUGUCUCGGUCUGGUCUUUGGAGUUGGAGGGUCUCCAUCCCGAGGGAAAGUUCUCCCUGAGAGCUUUUCAUUUGGUGCGUUGGCCGGGAAAGGAGAUCCUCCACCCAGGGACCACCGACCACCCACUGGGAGGUAAGCCGGCCGACGUCUGUCUGUCUGUCUAAUUUUGUCUCGUUCUACCUUAUUCUGUCUGUUCUGUGAGCGCUCAGCCAGGUCUGUUCUGUGGGCGCUCAGCCAAGUCUGUUCUGUGAGCGCUCAGCCAGGUUUUGUGAGCGCUCAGCCAGGUCUGUUCUGUGAGCGCUCAGCCAGGUUGUUUGGAAUUUGGGCGGGACGAAGAAGGAGCUGACGAGCUCGGACUUCUCGCCCCGCAGCCCUGGAAGACGUUCCAAGGGUGCUAGGGGCCCGACUUUUCGGGCCCCAAUCUGGGAGAGGAGAAAGAUCCGGACUAACGGCACCUCUGUCUGUAUUUUUGGCUUUCAGAGGGCCCCGGACUUUUGCCACCUCUAUCUGACUUUUUGCUUUCAGUUUGGUACCAAAGCCGUGCAGCACGCCUGUCUGUUGUUUGUUUGACUGUUGGUGUUGUUUGUUUUCUCUGUGUUCUAAUCUUCCUUAGAACUAACAUGGGACAGUCCCUAACAACGCCCCUAAGUCUCACUCUUGAUCAUUGGAAAGACGUCCACGACCGGGCACACAACCAGUCCGUCGAGGUUAAAAAAGGAAAAUGGCAGACUCUCUGCACAUCCGAGUGGCCCACCUUCGGAGCCGGAUGGCCAGUGAAUGGCACAUUUAAUAAGAUCAUUAUUUUACAGGUUAAAGAUCGGGUCGUCCACGGACAUCCUGACCAGGUUCCUUAUAUUAUCACUUGGGAGAGUCUUGCCUUAUACCCCCCCCCCCUUGGGCGGAACCCUUCGUGGACCCAAAUUGGCCUCCCCUCAAUCCCCAGCUUGUCCCCUCGGCCCCGCCCGGUUUGCUGGCCCCGUCUUCCUCUCUCUACCCCACUCUAAUUAAAUCAGAGCCUUCUAAGAAACCUGUCCUCCCGGCAGACUCAAACUCCCCUCUCAUAGAUCUUCUCUCUGAAGAUCCUCCUCCCCCAUAUCGUUUACCUACAGGCCCGGCUGAAACGGAGGAGGCAGAGCUGCCGGCCAGAUCAGUUGCCGGGCCACAGUCUGAUAAGGGUUUCUCCCCCGUCGCAGGGAGAUUGCACAAUAAGCGCGAGGUGAUGCCAGAUACAACCUCCCAGGCUUUCCCACUUAGACAGGGAACCGGUGGCCAGACCCAAUACUGGCCGUUUUCAGCAGCUGACAUUUACAAUUGGAAACAACACAACCCUUCUUUCUCCAAAGAUCCGGUGACACUCACCGACCUAAUAGAAUCUGUUUUACUUACCCACCAGCCUACUUGGGAUGACUGCCAACAGCUCUUACAGGCCCUCUUAACCUCAGAAAAAAACAAAGAGUGUUCCUAGAGGCCAGAAAGCAUGUUCUGGGAGAUGAUGGGCGUCCCACCCAGCUGCCUGAAAAAAUUGAUGCUGCAUUCCCACUUAAGAGACCAAACUGGGAUUUUAAUACAGCUGAAGGUAAGGGACACCUACGCCUUUAUCGCCAGUUGCUUCUAGCGGGUCUCCGAGGGGCUAUACGACGCCCUACUAAUUUGGCUCAGGUAAAACAGGUAUUACAGGAAGCAGGGGAAACUCCCUCCGCCUUUCUAGAGAGACUUAAGGAGGCCUACCGUAUGUACACUCCCUAUGACCCAGAUGACCCAGGACAAAUGACGAGUGUCUCUAUGUCCUUCAUCUGGCAGGCUGCUCCAGAUAUCAGGACUAAGUUACAGAGGUUAAAAAAUUUGCAGGGCUAUACAUUACAGGAUUUACUUAAAGAAGCUGAAAAGAUUUUUAAUAAGAGAGAAAAUUGAGUCGAAUCUUGGCCGCCGUAGUUCAGGGCCAAGAAAGGAAGGGAGAUAGGGGGGAGCUCGAAAGGGGCUGAAGCUGGAUAAAGAUCAAUGUGCCUAUUACAAAGAGAAAGGGCACUGGGCCAGAGAGUGCCCCAAGAAGCCUGGCGGACCCCGAAAGCCUCGACCACGAACCUCCCUCUUGGCUCUAGAUAAAGAUUAGGGAGGUCAGGGCCAGGAGCCCCCCCUGAGCCCAGGGUAACGCUUAAAGUUGGGGGGCAGCCGGUUGCUUUCCUGAUAGACACAGGAGCCCAGCAUUCAGUCCUCACUCAAGCUUCAGGACAACUCAGCGACCGGACGGCCUGGGUACAAGGAGCUACUGGUGAGAAACAAUACCGAUGGACUACGGACCGCCGGGUUCAGCUGGCUACUGGUAAGGUGACCCAUUCCUUCUUACAUGUUCCGGACUGCCCGUACCCUCUGCUGGGCCGUGACCUGCUCACCAAACUAAAAGCACAAAUUCAUUUUGAGGAAGGAGGGGCCCAAAUAACUGGCCCCCACGGAACUCCCCUUCAAGUUCUAACCCUAUGAACUGGGACAGGACACUGGCUUGGACAGAGACUGGUGGGAUGGGGUUGGCGCUCCAACAGCCCCCCUUAAUUACAACUCCAGUCUCCAUAAAACAAUACCCCCUGUCCCAUGAAGCUUAUCAAGGUAUAAGGCCUCACAUUACGAGGCUUCUGGAUCAAGGCAUCCUAGUCCCCUGCCGGUCGCCUUGGAAUACGCCUCUUCUGCCUGUUAAGAAACCCAGCACUGGAGAUUAUAGGCCAGUACAAGACUUGAGAGAGGUCAACAAGAGGGUAGAAGAUAUUCAUCCGACUGUUCCAAACCCUUACAAUUUGCUCCUGACUUUAGGGUUCAGCAUCCCACCCUCAUACUCCUACAAACCUUUUGAACUGUUCAUCGAUGAGAAACAGGGGUAUGCUAAAGGGGUCCUAACACAAAGGUUGGGACCCUGAAAACGCCCUGUGGCCUACCUGUCUAAGAAAUUGGACCCUGUGGCCUCCGGCUGGCCACCGUGCCUAAAGAUGGUGGCUGCUAUUGCUGUCCUGAUCAAGGACGCUGGAAAAUUGACUUUGGGACAGCCACUCACCAUCCUAGCACCCCAUGCAGUGGAGGCCUUGGUAAAGCAGCCCCCAGACCGCUGGCUCUCUAAUUCUCACACCAAGCCUUGUUACUGGAUGCAGAACGGGUUCAGUUUGGGCCUGUAGUUGCCCUCAAUCCUGCCACCUUGCUUCCUCUACCAGAGGAGGCAGAACAGCAUGACUGCCUACAAAUCCUCACAGAAGUACAUGGAACCAGGCCGGACCUAUCGGACCAGCCUCUUCAGAAUGCUGACCACACAUGGUACAUGGAUGGCAGCAGCUUCUUGGCAGAGGGAGAGCAAAAGGCUGGAGCUGCGGUCACUACGGAGGACAAAGUGAUUUGGGCGAAAGCCCUGCCUGCUGGUACCUCCGCACAACGGGCUGAACUCAUCGCCUUGACUCAGGCGCUCAAGAUGACAAAAGGUAAGAGGCUAAAUAUAUAUAUACAGACAGCCGUUAUGCCUUUGCCACGGCACACAUCCACGGGGAGAUCUACCGGAGGCGGGGGCUGCUCACAUCUGAGGGUAAAGAUAUGGCUAAAAUUCUGGCCCUCUUAGAAGCCCUAUUCUUGCCCAAAAGACUGAGUACAUUGUCCAGGACACCAGAAAGGGCACAACCCUGAGACACGAGGAAACCGGCUGGCCGAUGCCACGGCGCGAGAAGCGGCCAUGAACAAACAAAUCUUGCCCUUAAAUAGCCCAGACCAACCCACGCCCCCACCAGUGGGACAAACCAGUUGGGUUUAUGCCCAUGAGGACAUAGAGCUCCUAAAAAAAUGGGGGCCAUCUACCACCCUCAACUAAAACAGUGGGUCUACAAAGGACUUUUGAAUUGAUCUCCUUUUUACAUAAAUUAACCCAUUUGGGGUUUAAGAAGAUGACUAGAUCGGGAAGAGAUAAAUCUGUGUUUUUUUAAAUCGGGACAAAGCGAUACAAAAGGUGACUGAGAGUUACAAAGCGUGCGCUCAGGUUAACCCGGAAAGGACCAUGAUUGGACAAGGAGUUCGUCCUAGGGGACACCGUCCCGACAUCCAUUGGGAAAUUGAUUUUACUGAAAUUAAACCAGGUAUAUAUGGAUACAAGUAUCUCCUAGUGUUUGUAGACACCUUCUCAGGAUGGGUCGAAGCCUUCCCCACAAAGCACGAGACUACAAAAAUGGUCACUAAGAAGCUCCUCGAGGAAAUCUUUCCCAGGUAUGACAUGCCUCAAGCGUUGGGGUCGGACAACGGGCCCGCUUUCGUCUCCCAAGUAAGUCAGUUGGUGGCCAAAUUGCUGGGGAUUGAUUGGAAAUUACAUUGUGCCUAUAGACCCCAGAGUUCAGGUCAGGUAGAACGCAUGAAUAGAACAAUUAAGGAGACUUUAUCCAAACUUGCGCUUACAACUGGCUCAAAGGAUUGGGUGGCCCUCCUUCCCCUAGUUCUAUAUCGGGCCCGGAAUACCCCGGGCCCCCAUGGUCUAACUCCUUUUAAAAUAAUAUAUGGAGCACCACCCCCAUUUGUCCAUUUCUUUGAUUCAACAUUGCUGAUUUUGCUGACAGCCCUUCUCUGAGGGCCCAUUUACAGGCCCUACAGAUUGUGCAGAGAGACGUCUGGAGACCUAUGGCCACUGCUUACCAGGACAAGCUUGAACAUCCGAUGGUGCCACACCCGUUCCAGAUUGGAGACACCGUGUGGGUGCGCAGACACCAGACCAAGAAUCUCGAGCCACGGUGGAAAGGACCCUACACCGUCCUCCUGACUACCCCGACCGCCCUAAAGGUAGACGGAGUCGCGGCUUAGAUCCACGCACCACACGUCAAGACAGUCCGGUCUGAGGAAUUGACUAAUCACAACACUACACCCCAGACAUGGAGAGUUCAGCGCACUCCAAACCCCUUAAAGUUAAAACUCCUACGUGGCUCCUCCUAGCCCUUUUGUGGCCUAGAGUCAGUGGGGGAAUAAGCCCCCACCAGACAGAAAUUUCUUGACCAAGUCGAGUGAAAGAUUUCACUCAAAGUUAGCAAAAAAAAAAAUGGGGGAAUGAAAGACCCCAGCUUAGCAGCAGUAACGCCAUUUUGCAAGGCUGUACUUAAGAUGACUGGUUCAGGGAAAGGUUAGAACACUGAGUACACAGCGGCUGCCAAGCAGGAUGUGUUUGGUUGAAGGCCUGGCAACAGGACGACUGCAGUUGAGCACCUGACAAUGAGAAAAGCCCCGGGAGAGGUCCCACACCCUGGUGGGGGGCCGAGUCAGUCGUUCUGUUCCAAGAAGGUAGCUAAGAAACUUGCCCCCGGGCUGAACCCUUGGGGGGCUGAGUCAGCCGUUAUGUUUCAGGAAGGUAGCUAGGAAACUUGCCCCCGGGCUAAACCCUUGCCAUAUUAGAAUCCACCAAUUAUAUCCCUGUAACCAUGCAUCUGCUUCUGUAUGCUUGCUUCUGCUUCCCAAAAUCCUAUAAAAGCCCAUCCUUGGUUCCGUGGGGCGCGCCAGUCCCCCGAGUGACUGAAGCGCCCGCAGGUGCCUGUGCCUGUGUAUCCCGACAAUAAACCAAAUCCUCUUGCUGAUU